AACUUUCAACAACGGAUCUCUUGGUUCCCGCAUCGAUGAAGAACGCAGCGAAACGCGAUAGUUAAUGUGAAUUGCAGAAUUCAGUGAAUCAUCGAGUCUUUGAACGCACAUUGCGCCCAUUGGUAUUCCGAUGGGCAUGUCUGUUUGAGCGUCAUU
This 156-nucleotide ribosomal RNA is filed under the name Dactylellina phymatopaga. Its description in RNAcentral is "Gamsylella phymatopaga 5.8S ribosomal RNA". It matches the Rfam family "5.8S ribosomal RNA". Rfam says of the family: 5.8S ribosomal RNA (5.8S rRNA) is a component of the large subunit of the eukaryotic ribosome. It is transcribed by RNA polymerase I as part of the 45S precursor that also contains 18S and 28S rRNA. Lineage: Eukaryota; Fungi; Ascomycota; Orbiliomycetes; Orbiliales; Orbiliaceae. The record is from RNAcentral.